Long non-coding RNA from Artibeus jamaicensis (Jamaican fruit-eating bat), 615 nucleotides. RefSeq lists it as uncharacterized. Lineage: Eukaryota; Metazoa; Chordata; Mammalia; Chiroptera; Phyllostomidae. The record is from RefSeq and is a predicted model, not a curated record. The transcript is spliced from 3 exons.
CAUAUGCAAACCCACAGACAGUACAUGUAACAUCACCUGAGCCACAAGAACCAAGACCAAAAUCAGUCAAAUUUUUGUGAUAAAAGAAGAAAAGAGCUCUUGUCUUUUGAUUUCUUCAGUGUUAUUGAGACCAUCUGGAUGGUAUACCUGAGUAAACCCAUGUAAGGCCUCCAUAUAAACCUUUAAGAUACUGGUGGGUAGGUGUGAAGAUCUACUCCUUUGCAGUCACCCAAGACAAGCCUCAAAGAAAAAGUCCCAUCCUGUCUUUCAUUGGCAUCUGAAAACAACUUCACUCCCACCUACCCUAAGAAGUGUUCUUUCAGGAAGAACUGAGUCUGUUGUGAGGAAACAUGGCUAAUAUUGAUUCAGAAAACCUCAAGAAUUCUGCACUGGAAAAGGACCAAAGCAAUGAAAAAAAGUAUGCAGUUUUCAGUUUAAUUUAGAAGUUGUGCAAACUAAUAAAGAUUCUACAUUUGAGGAGUUGACACCUGACAAACCUUCCAGCAUAUUCACUGAUUCAAAAUAGGAAAAAGUUUAUAUCAUAAAAUACAUAAUUAAAUAAAUAGUUUGAAAUUUUGAAAAAAACUGCUUGUAUGCUUUGAAAUCACUUACAGA